GUCCACGCCGUAAACGAUGAUCACUAGGUGACGGGAGUAUUGACCCUCUCGGCGCCGCAGCUAACGCAUUAAGUGAUCCGCCUGGGGAGUACGGCCGCAAGGCUAAAACUCAAAGGAAUUGACGGGGGCCCGCACAAGCGGUGGAGUAUGUGGUUUAAUUCGACGCAACGCGAAGAACCUUACCUGGGUUAGAAAUCAACUAGACGACUUUCAGAGAUGAUUGUUUUUCCCGCAAGGGAACUGGUUGACAGGUGCUGCAUGGCUGUCGU
Molecule: ribosomal RNA, 269 nt
Filed under: uncultured bacterium
Lineage: Bacteria
Description: partial 16S ribosomal RNA
Rfam family: Bacterial small subunit ribosomal RNA
Source: RNAcentral